This 365-nucleotide ribosomal RNA is filed under the name uncultured soil bacterium. RNAcentral's name for it is "bacterial SSU rRNA". It matches the Rfam family "Bacterial small subunit ribosomal RNA", at positions 26 to 420 of the family's 1533-position model. The record is from RNAcentral.
AGAACGAACGCUGGCGGCAUGCCUAAUACAUGCAAGUCGAACGAACUCUUCGGAGUUAGUGGCGCACGGGUGCGUAACGCGUGGGAAUCUGCCCCUUGGUUCGGAAUAACAGUUGGAAACGACUGCUAAUACCGGAUGAUGACGAAAGUCCAAAGAUUUAUCGCCAAGGGAUGAGCCCGCGUAGGAUUAGCUAGUUGGUGAGGUAGAGGCUCACCAAGGCAACGAUCCUUAGCUGGUCUGAGAGGAUGAUCAGCCACACUGGGACUGAGACACGGCCCAGACUCCUACGGGAGGCAGCAGUAGGGAAUAUGGACAAUGGGCGAAAGCCUGAUCCAGCAAUGCCGCGUGAGUGAUGGAACGGUCCG